This 1301-nucleotide ribosomal RNA is filed under the name metagenome. RNAcentral's name for it is "bacterial LSU rRNA". It matches the Rfam family "Bacterial large subunit ribosomal RNA", at positions 1634 to 2925 of the family's 2925-position model. The record is from RNAcentral.
CCACACGACCGUACCGCAAACCGACACUGGUGCGCGAGAUGAGUAUUCUAAGGCGCUUGAGAGAACUCAGGAGAAGGAACUCGGCAAAUUGACACCGUAACUUCGGAAGAAGGUGUGCCUUUAGUAGGUGAACCUGUACAAGGGGAGCCCAAUGAGGUUGCAAAAAAUCGGUGGCUGCGACUGUUUAAUAAAAACACAGCACUCUGCAAACACGAAAGUGGACGUAUAGGGUGUGACGCCUGCCCGGUGCUGGAAGAUUAAAUGAUGGGGUGCAAGCUCUUGAUUGAAGUCCCAGUAAACGGCGGCCGUAACGAUAACGGUCCUAAGGUAGCGAAAUUCCUUGUCGGGUAAGUUCCGACCUGCACGAAUGGCGUAACGAUGGCCACACUGUCUCCUCCUGAGACUCAGCGAAGUUGAAAUGUUUGUGAUGAUGCAAUCUCCCCGCGGAAAGACGGAAAGACCCCAUGAACCUUUACUGUAGCUUUGUAUUGGACUUUGAACAGAUCUGUGUAGGAUAGGUGGGAGGCUUUGAAGUGUGGUCGCUAGAUCGCAUGGAGCCAACGUUGAAAUACCACCCUGGUGUGUUUGAGGUUCUAACCUAGGCCCGUAAUCCGGGUCGGGGACAGUGCAUGGUAGGCAGUUUGACUGGGGCGGUCUCCUCCCAAAGCGUAACGGAGGAGUUCGAAGGUACGCUAGGUACGGUCGGACAUCGUGCUAAUAGUGCAAUGGCAUAAGCGUGCUUAACUGCGAGACUGACAAGUCGAGCAGAUGCGAAAGCAGGACAUAGUGAUCCGGUGGUUCUGUAUGGAAGGGCCAUCGCUCAACGGAUAAAAGGUACUCUGGGGAUAACAGGCUGAUACCGCCCAAGAGUUCAUAUCGACGGCGGUGUUUGGCACCUCGAUGUCGGCUCAUCUCAUCCUGGGGCUGUAGCCGGUCCCAAGGGUAUGGCUGUUCGCCAUUUAAAGAGGUACGUGAGCUGGGUUUAAAACGUCGUGAGACAGUUUGGUCCCUAUCUUCCGUGGGCGCUGCAGAUUUGAGGAAGCCUGCUCCUAGUACGAGAGGACCGGAGUGGACACACCUCUGGUGUAUCGGUUGUCACGCCAGUGGCAUUGCCGAGUAGCUAUGUGUGGAAGAGAUAACCGCUGAAAGCAUCUAAGCGGGAAACUCGUUUCAAGAUGAGAUCUGCCGGGGCCUUGAGCCCCCUAAAGAGUCGUUCAAGACCAGGACGUUGAUAGGUCGGGUGUGGAAGCGCAGUAAUGCGUUAAGCUAACCGAUACUAAUUGCUCGUGCGGCUUGACCCG